Molecule: long non-coding RNA, 581 nt
Organism: Lolium rigidum
Lineage: Eukaryota; Viridiplantae; Streptophyta; Magnoliopsida; Poales; Poaceae
Exons: 3
Source: RefSeq, a predicted model, not a curated record
AGUUGAAACCUAUUUGUCUGGCUUUUGCUAUUUCAACUAUUUGUAUGAACUUUCUUCUAAAUCAUGUUUUCAAGAAUUUUUUAGUUACCUUUCUUGGAAUAAUAUUAGCUUUGAGCAAGUAUAGAAAGUACGCUGCCACUGAAUAUUGCUAGCUUAACACGCACUUCUAAAAAUAAAAAGGUUUGUUUUACUUUAUUUUAUUUUUCUCUUCUGUAUUUUUUGCACUAGAAAUUACUAGCUUAACACGCAUCAGGAUUAUGUUAUCAUCACCUUCUAUUUUGUUGGACUGAAAAGGUUCUGGUAGCUACUUCUCCAAACAGUAGCGAAGAUGAUUCAUUUGCUUUACUUUGCUAAUGGUUAAUGAAAAUUCAUUGUUUGGUUAUAUUAAUCAGGAGUCUGUAUCCCAAGUAAUGGAAAUUACUGGGACUUUCAAGUGCAGAGCUAAGACGAUGGUUGAUGUUGCUAUUCAGCGGUUGGACAACUUCUCCGUGCCACAAGAAUAUCUAACGGACUGAAGUUUGAGGCAAACAAGAGAGGAGAGGAACAGUAUGCAAGGUCAAGAUGGGGUCAAUUCUAGGGUG